RNAcentral lists this ribosomal RNA (2226 nucleotides) under Shigella sonnei. RNAcentral's name for it is "partial 23S ribosomal RNA". It matches the Rfam family "Bacterial large subunit ribosomal RNA", at positions 474 to 2685 of the family's 2925-position model. Lineage: Bacteria; Pseudomonadati; Pseudomonadota; Gammaproteobacteria; Enterobacterales; Enterobacteriaceae. The record is from RNAcentral.
UCCUGACUGACCGAUAGUGAACCAGUACCGUGAGGGAAAGGCGAAAAGAACCCCGGCGAGGGGAGUGAAAAAGAACCUGAAACCGUGUACGUACAAGCAGUGGGAGCACGCUUAGGCGUGUGACUGCGUACCUUUUGUAUAAUGGGUCAGCGACUUAUAUUCUGUAGCAAGGUUAACCGAAUAGGGGAGCCGAAGGGAAACCGAGUCUUAACUGGGCGUUAAGUUGCAGGGUAUAGACCCGAAACCCGGUGAUCUAGCCAUGGGCAGGUUGAAGGUUGGGUAACACUAACUGGAGGACCGAACCGACUAAUGUUGAAAAAUUAGCGGAUGACUUGUGGCUGGGGGUGAAAGGCCAAUCAAACCGGGAGAUAGCUGGUUCUCCCCGAAAGCUAUUUAGGUAGCGCCUCGUGAAUUCAUCUCCGGGGGUAGAGCACUGUUUCGGCAAGGGGGUCAUCCCGACUUACCAACCCGAUGCAAACUGCGAAUACCGGAGAAUGUUAUCACGGGAGACACACGGCGGGUGCUAACGUCCGUCGUGAAGAGGGAAACAACCCAGACCGCCAGCUAAGGUCCCAAAGUCAUGGUUAAGUGGGAAACGAUGUGGGAAGGCCCAGACAGCCAGGAUGUUGGCUUAGAAGCAGCCAUCAUUUAAAGAAAGCGUAAUAGCUCACUGGUCGAGUCGGCCUGCGCGGAAGAUGUAACGGGGCUAAACCAUGCACCGAAGCUGCGGCAGCGAUGCUUAUGCGUUGUUGGGUAGGGGAGCGUUCUGUAAGCCUGCGAAGGUGUGCUGUGAGGCAUGCUGGAGGUAUCAGAAGUGCGAAUGCUGACAUAAGUAACGAUAAAGCGGGUGAAAAGCCCGCUCGCCGGAAGACCAAGGGUUCCUGUCCAACGUUAAUCGGGGCAGGGUGAGUCGACCCCUAAGGCGAGGCCGAAAGGCGUAGUCGAUGGGAAACAGGUUAAUAUUCCUGUACUUGGUGUUACUGCGAAGGGGGGACGGAGAAGGCUAUGUUGGCCGGGCGACGGUUGUCCCGGUUUAAGCGUGUAGGCUGGUUUUCCAGGCAAAUCCGGAAAAUCAAGGCUGAGGCGUGAUGACGAGGCACUACGGUGCUGAAGCAACAAAUGCCCUGCUUCCAGGAAAAGCCUCUAAGCAUCAGGUAACAUCAAAUCGUACCCCAAACCGACACAGGUGGUCAGGUAGAGAAUACCAAGGCGCUUGAGAGAACUCGGGUGAAGGAACUAGGCAAAAUGGUGCCGUAACUUCGGGAGAAGGCACGCUGAUAUGUAGGUGAAGUCCCUUGCGGAUGGAGCUGAAAUCAGUCGAAGAUACCAGCUGGCUGCAACUGUUUAUUAAAAACACAGCACUGUGCAAACACGAAAGUGGACGUAUACGGUGUGACGCCUGCCCGGUGCCGGAAGGUUAAUUGAUGGGGUCAGCGCAAGCGAAGCUCUUGAUCGAAGCCCCGGUAAACGGCGGCCGUAACUAUAACGGUCCUAAGGUAGCGAAAUUCCUUGUCGGGUAAGUUCCGACCUGCACGAAUGGCGUAAUGAUGGCCAGGCUGUCUCCACCCGAGACUCAGUGAAAUUGAACUCGCUGUGAAGAUGCAGUGUACCCGCGGCAAGACGGAAAGACCCCGUGAACCUUUACUAUAGCUUGACACUGAACAUUGAGCCUUGAUGUGUAGGAUAGGUGGGAGGCUUUGAAGUGUGGACGCCAGUCUGCAUGGAGCCGGCCUUGAAAUACCACCCUUUAAUGUUUGAUGUUCUAACGUGGACCCGUGAUCCGGGUUGCGGACAGUGUCUGGUGGGUAGUUUGACUGGGGCGGUCUCCUCCUAAAGAGUAACGGAGGAGCACGAAGGUUGGCUAAUCCUGGUCGGACAUCAGGAGGUUAGUGCAAUGGCAUAAGCCAGCUUGACUGCGAGCGUGACGGCGCGAGCAGGUGCGAAAGCAGGUCAUAGUGAUCCGGUGGUUCUGAAUGGAAGGGCCAUCGCUCAACGGAUAAAAGGUACUCCGGGGAUAACAGGCUGAUACCGCCCAAGAGUUCAUAUCGACGGCGGUGUUUGGCACCUCGAUGUCGGCUCAUCACAUCCUGGGGCUGAAGUAGGUCCCAAGGGUAUGGCUGUUCGCCAUUUAAAGUGGUACGCGAGCUGGGUUUAGAACGUCGUGAGACAGUUCGGUCCCUAUCUGCCGUGGGCGAUGGAGAACUGAGGGGGGCUGCUCCUAGUACG